CCUACGGGUGGCAGCAGUGGGGAAUAUUGGACAAUGGGGGCAACCCUGAUCCAGCCAUGCCGCGUGUGUGAAGAAGGCCCUCGGGUUGUAAAGCACUUUCAGUGAGGAAGAACGCCUGAUGGUUAAUACCCAUCAGGAAAGACAUCACUCACAGAAGAAGCACCGGCUAACUCCGUGCCAGCAGCCGCGGUAAUACGGAGGGUGCGAGCGUUAAUCGGAAUUACUGGGCGUAAAGCGCGCGUAGGUGGCUUGAUAAGCCGGUUGUGAAAGCCCCGGGCUCAACCUGGGAACGGCAUCCGGAACUGUCAAGCUAGAGUGCAGGAGAGGAAGGUAGAAUUCCCGGUGUAGCGGUGAAAUGCGUAGAGAUCGGGAGGAAUACCAGUGGCGAAGGCGGCCUUCUGGACUGACACUGACACUGAGGUGCGAAAGCGUGGGUAGCAAACAGGAUUAGAUACCCUGGUAGUC
Molecule: ribosomal RNA, 465 nt
Filed under: Vreelandella stevensii
Lineage: Bacteria; Pseudomonadati; Pseudomonadota; Gammaproteobacteria; Oceanospirillales; Halomonadaceae
Description: partial 16S ribosomal RNA
Rfam family: Bacterial small subunit ribosomal RNA
Source: RNAcentral